CGGCCAGUACACCGCCACCUUCCUCCACCCAACCCUGAGAGAAAACGCCCACCCCCCAGAUCUCCAUCUCCUCCCUCCUCCUCUCUCUCUCUCUCUUAUUAAGGAGCAAGCAAAGCGGCCGCUCCCUCCCGGCUCAGAUCUCCGCGCGCCGAUCGAUCCCCCACCCGCCCCCAAACCCUCGCUCGUCAACGCCGCCGCGGCUCCCGACGA
RNAcentral lists this long non-coding RNA (210 nucleotides) under Oryza brachyantha (malo sina). RNAcentral describes it as "long non-coding RNA (OBRA_LNC000722)". Lineage: Eukaryota; Viridiplantae; Streptophyta; Magnoliopsida; Poales; Poaceae. The record is from RNAcentral.